GCAAGUCGAACGGUAACAGGCCCUCGGGGCGCUGACGAGUGGCGCACGGGUGCGUAACGCGUAUGCAACCUGCCUUAUGCAGGGGGAUAGCCCAUGGAAACGUGGAUUAAUACCCCAUAGAAUCAAUUAUUCGCAUGGAUUAUUGAUUAAAACUUCGGUGGCAUAAGAUGGGCAUGCGUAGGAUUAGCUAGUUGGUGAGGUAACGGCUCACCAAGGCAACGAUCCUUAGGGGUCCUGAGAGGGUUAUC
RNAcentral lists this ribosomal RNA (248 nucleotides) under uncultured bacterium. Its description in RNAcentral is "partial 16S ribosomal RNA". It matches the Rfam family "Bacterial small subunit ribosomal RNA", at positions 57 to 305 of the family's 1533-position model. The record is from RNAcentral.